Molecule: transfer RNA, 75 nt
Filed under: Gammaproteobacteria bacterium
Lineage: Bacteria; Pseudomonadati; Pseudomonadota; Gammaproteobacteria
Description: tRNA-Cys
Rfam family: tRNA
About the family: Transfer RNA (tRNA) molecules are approximately 80 nucleotides in length. Their secondary structure includes four short double-helical elements and three loops (D, anti-codon, and T loops).
Source: RNAcentral
CAUGUCGUGGCUGAAAGGCAAGGCGGCGGACUGCAACUCCGUCCUAUGCGGGUUCGACUCCCGCCGGCAUGUCCA